This is an RNA transcript of Hydra vulgaris (swiftwater hydra), 1059 nucleotides long. RefSeq lists it as uncharacterized. The record is from RefSeq and is a predicted model, not a curated record. Lineage: Eukaryota; Metazoa; Cnidaria; Hydrozoa; Anthoathecata; Hydridae.
GUGAAAUUCCAUUUUAGAUUACAUUAACUUUGGAAAAGAAUUAACUGUCACUCAAGGUGCUAUUCUUGGAACGCCUAAAAUCUUGAAGAAGGAGUACACAGUGUCGUUUAAUUUAAAGCUUGUAAAUUAUUCUAAGGGUUUUAAAAAUAUUCUCCAUUUAACCUAAUAGUGGUAAUAGUGAAGCUUAUGGUGAUAAAAGUCCUGGUGUGUGGUUUCAUGAAGAAGGAUCAAGAAGGCUUGUUAUUUAUUCUGCAAUAAGCGGUAAUUCCAACUAUUUUAUUGAAACAACUCCACUUCUUAUGGAUCAAUGGUACAAUAUAAAAAUUCAUCAAACAAUGAUAGAUGGCCAAUAUUGGUUUGCUGUUGAUAUCAAUUGAGUAAAUAUUCAUAAAGUUGAAAAUUCUUUGGCUAGAGAUUUCAAAAACAUGAAAGUGUAUGCUUCCAAUGUUAGAGAAACUGGACAAGAUGGAUGGAUUUCAGACCUUCUUAUUAUCAAUGGGAAAUCUGAAUACCUAAUUGGAAAUAUAAAUAUUAAAAGGAAAAAUUAUUGCUGAAAUGCCAAACUUAGGAAAAGAAUAUUUAGUGUCAGUUGAUUUCAAUCCCAACAAGUUUGUUUCAGGUUAUCAUAAUGUUUUUCAUUUUAGCAUUGAUUUUAAUGGUGCACAUUAUUGUGAUCGUGUUCCUGGUAUCCGGAUUCAUCAGUAUGGUAAUGGAGGACUUCGCAUUGCAUCACCAAUUAAUGGUGAAAUCGAAUAUUUAAGACUAGUCCAAUUAAAUUAAAUAAAUGGUCAAAAAUUGAGUUAAGGACAAGUAAAUGGACAAGUUGUUCAUUCUGAAAUUAAUAAUGAUGCUCAAGGUUUUAAUAAUGUUAAAGUGUUUGCUUCAGAUCCUUGGAGUGAAAGCCAAGAUGGCAUAAUUAAAAACUUGGUUGUUAUUAAUUUUAAUGCUUCUAGCAUGUCAGCAGGUCGAAGCCAACCCACUAUUGUUCUUUCAAAUGGUUCCCAUUUGGUAAUUGGAUUGCUUGUUGGAUUGUUCCUAUUGGUUUUUGUUGUAGUUGUA